CUGAAUCAGUGUGUGUGUUAGUGGAAGCGUCUGGAAAGGCGCGCGAUACAGGGUGACAGCCCCGUACACAAAAAUGCACAUACUGUGAGCUCGAUGAGUAGGGCGGGACACGUGGUAUCCUGUCUGAAUAUGGGGGGACCAUCCUCCAAGGCUAAAUACUCCUGACUGACCGAUAGUGAACCAGUACCGUGAGGGAAAGGCGAAAAGAACCCCGGCGAGGGGAGUGAAAAAGAACCUGAAACCGUGUACGUACAAGCAGUGGGAGCACGCUUAGGCGUGUGACUGCGUACCUUUUGUAUAAUGGGUCAGCGACUUAUAUUCUGUAGCAAGGUUAACCGAAUAGGGGAGCCGAAGGGAAACCGAGUCUUAACUGGGCGUUAAGUUGCAGGGUAUAGACCCGAAACCCGGUGAUCUAGCCAUGGGCAGGUUGAAGGUUGGGUAACACUAACUGGAGGACCGAACCGACUAAUGUUGAAAAAUUAGCGGAUGACUUGUGGCUGGGGGUGAAAGGCCAAUCAAACCGGGAGAUAGCUGGUUCUCCCCGAAAGCUAUUUAGGUAGCGCCUCGUGAAUUCAUCUCCGGGGGUAGAGCACUGUUUCGGCAAGGGGGUCAUCCCGACUUACCAACCCGAUGCAAACUGCGAAUACCGGAGAAUGUUAUCACGGGAGACACACGGCGGGUGCUAACGUCCGUCGUGAAGAGGGAAACAACCCAGACCGCCAGCUAAGGUCCCAAAGUCAUGGUUAAGUGGGAAACGAUGUGGGAAGGCCCAGACAGCCAGGAUGUUGGCUUAGAAGCAGCCAUCAUUUAAAGAAAGCGUAAUAGCUCACUGGUCGAGUCGGCCUGCGCGGAAGAUGUAACGGGGCUAAACCAUGCACCGAAGCUGCGGCAGCGACGCUUAUGCGUUGUUGGGUAGGGGAGCGUUCUGUAAGCCUGUGAAGGUGUGCUGUGAGGCAUGCUGGAGGUAUCAGAAGUGCGAAUGCUGACAUAAGUAACGAUAAAGCGGGUGAAAAGCCCGCUCGCCGGAAGACCAAGGGUUCCUGUCCAACGUUAAUCGGGGCAGGGUGAGUCGACCCCUAAGGCGAGGCCGAAAGGCGUAGUCGAUGGGAAACAGGUUAAUAUUCCUGUACUUGGUGUUACUGCGAAGGGGGGACGGAGAAGGCUAUGUUGGCCGGGCGACGGUUGUCCCGGUUUAAGCGUGUAGGCUGGUUUUCCAGGCAAAUCCGGAAAAUCAAGGCUGAGGCGUGAUGACGAGGCACUACGGUGCUGAAGCAACAAAUGCCCUGCUUCCAGGAAAAGCCUCUAAGCAUCAGGUAACAUCAAAUCGUACCCCAAACCGACACAGGUGGUCAGGUAGAGAAUACCAAGGCGCUUGAGAGAACUCGGGUGAAGGAACUAGGCAAAAUGGUGCCGUAACUUCGGGAGAAGGCACGCUGAUAUGUAGGUGAAGCGACUUGCUCGUGGAGCUGAAAUCAGUCGAAGAUACCAGCUGGCUGCAACUGUUUAUUAAAAACACAGCACUGUGCAAACACGAAAGUGGACGUAUACGGUGUGACGCCUGCCCGGUGCCGGAAGGUUAAUUGAUGGGGUCAGCGCAAGCGAAGCUCUUGAUCGAAGCCCCGGUAAACGGCGGCCGUAACUAUAACGGUCCUAAGGUAGCGAAAUUCCUUGUCGGGUAAGUUCCGACCUGCACGAAUGGCGUAAUGAUGGCCAGGCUGUCUCCACCCGAGACUCAGUGAAAUUGAACUCGCUGUGAAGAUGCAGUGUACCCGCGGCAAGACGGAAAGACCCCGUGAACCUUUACUAUAGCUUGACACUGAACAUUGAGCCUUGAUGUGUAGGAUAGGUGGGAGGCUUUGAAGUGUGGACGCCAGUCUGCAUGGAGCCGGCCUUGAAAUACCACCCUUUAAUGUUUGAUGUUCUAACGUGGACCCGUAAUCCGGGUUGCGGACAGUGUCUGGUGGGUAGUUUGACUGGGGCGGUCUCCUCCUAAAGAGUAACGGAGGAGCACGAAGGUUGGCUAAUCCUGGUCGGACAUCAGGAGGUUAGUGCAAUGGCAUAAGCCAGCUUGACUGCGAGCGUGACGGCGCGAGCAGGUGCGAAAGCAGGUCAUAGUGAUCCGGUGGUUCUGAAUGGAAGGGCCAUCGCUCAACGGAUAAAAGGUACUCCGGGGAUAACAGGCUGAUACCGCCCAAGAGUUCAUAUCGACGGCGGUGUUUGGCACCUCGAUGUCGGCUCAUCACAUCCUGGGGCUGAAGUAGGUCCCAAGGGUAUGGCUGUUCGCCAUUUAAAGUGGUACGCGAGCUGGGUUUAGAACGUCGUGAGACAGUUCGGUCCCUAUCUGCCGUGGGCGCUGGAGAACUGAGGGGGGCUGCUCCUAGUACGAGAGGACCGGAGUGGACGCAUCACUGGUGUUCGGGUUGUCAUGCCAAUGGCACUGCCCGGUAGCUAAAUGCGGAAGAGAUAAGUGCUGAAAGCAUCUAAGCACGAAACUUGCCCCGAGAUGAGUUCUCCCUGACUCCUUGAGAGUCCUGAAGGAACGUUGAAGACGACGACGUUGAUAGGCCGGGUGUGUAAGCGCAGCGAUGCGUUGAGCUAACCGGUACUAAUGAACCGUGAGGCUUAACCUU
RNAcentral lists this ribosomal RNA (2630 nucleotides) under Escherichia coli. Its description in RNAcentral is "partial 23S ribosomal RNA". It matches the Rfam family "Bacterial large subunit ribosomal RNA", at positions 312 to 2925 of the family's 2925-position model. Lineage: Bacteria; Pseudomonadati; Pseudomonadota; Gammaproteobacteria; Enterobacterales; Enterobacteriaceae. The record is from RNAcentral.